Molecule: long non-coding RNA, 1120 nt
Filed under: Monodelphis domestica (gray short-tailed opossum)
Lineage: Eukaryota; Metazoa; Chordata; Mammalia; Didelphimorphia; Didelphidae
Description: lncRNA (ENSMODG00000044424.1)
Source: RNAcentral
UAUAAGCUUCAAGGACAAGGAGUUUGUCACUACUUGCUGGAGGAUUUAAUCUUAAAGAAUGACUCUUUCUCCUGGCUUCCAUCAUGCUCUAGUUGACAAAAAAGCCUGCAAAGUUAUUGUAAUCAUUAGAUACCUUUGUUUGUUGGCUUAAGUGCAGGAAAUUGUAUUAAUGUUUUUGUCACCACAAGAGUGAUUCCACGGAGGGCUCUGAGAAACGUCAGAGCUUAGGCAGGAAGAAUGGAAGGUGACACACAAAAACAGAGCACCCAUUUCUAGAUUGAUUCAACAGGACUGGAACUCUUCGUGAUUCAUAAGAGCGUUUGAUGUUCUAAACAAUUAACUUUUUUUUCCCCUUAUGGAAACGGACAUAAGCUUUAAAAAGGACAGACUCACUUCUACACAGUCUCCAAAGGAAUGCUCUGGUCAUCAGGGAUUGGCAUUCCAGAAGUUCUGUCCUGGAUGUUGUGUUGCAAAGGCAAAGGGAUUACUGGAAACUGGUUUUGCUGCCAACAUCAGUAUCCUUUGGCAGGUUGGAGCGUGUGGAGUGAAUUUGGGGGAGAUGUUUGUAAGAGAGGAAAUUUAGACUCAUUCUGCCAGAGGAACAAGACAAGCGGGGUAAGGGCAAAUGGAACAGAGAAUUCCAGAGAAAGAACAGAGAAGAGCUGAGAAGAUUCAAGCAGUUAACUUCACUUCCCUUUGGGAAGCCUUUCAGAAAGGUUGCUCUGAAAGCACCUCUGAGCCCUGGUCAUCCUUCUGUGAAUCCAGACCCCCUGAAUCCAGCAGAAGACAACAGGAAUGGAUAGGACUUUUGAUAUAAAGCUAUCCAUCUCAAGAAGAUUUUCUCUACAUCCCUCCAAAUUCAGUUCCUGAAAUUCAAAUCAUAAGUAGGACAGUUAGAAGUCAGGGCAGCUCUCACAAAUGACCCCAGUGGGUCAGGCAGGCAAAGCCUGACUCUGUAGGAUUUGGGGAGAAGGGGUUCAAUUGUUAGUUUUUAGGAACUUCCUAUUUUCCAACUUUCCGGAUACCUUAUCCCUCAAUCUCAAAAACUUACUUUACUUUACUUUACCCUUUGUGUGUUCCUCCAAAUAAAUAGCUGUUCUAUAGAUCUAGUGCCUGCUCA